AAACAAACCAAAAAAAGAAAGAAAGAAAGAAAGACA
This 36-nucleotide small RNA is filed under the name Arabidopsis thaliana (thale cress). RNAcentral's name for it is "ATSL129240". The record is from RNAcentral. Lineage: Eukaryota; Viridiplantae; Streptophyta; Magnoliopsida; Brassicales; Brassicaceae.